GCGCGAAAACUUUACAAUGCUGGCAACAGCGAUAAGGGAACCUCGAGUGCCAGGUUACAAAUCUGGCUGUCGAGAUGCCUAAAAAGCAUUUCAUAGCAAGGGCCGGGCAAGACCGGUGCCAGCCGCCGCGGUAACACCGGCGGCUCGAGUGGUAACCGUUAUUAUUGGGUCUAAAGGGUCUGUAGCCGGCCGGAUAAGUCUCUUGAGAAAUCUGGCAGCUUAACUGUCAGGCUUUCAGGAGAUACUGUCUGGCUCGAGGCCGGGAGAGGUGAGAGGUACUCCAGGGGUAGGAGUGAAAUCCUGUAAUCCUUGGGGGACCACCUGUGGCGAAGGCGUCUCACCAGAACGGCUCCGACAGUGAGGAACGAAAGCUGGGGGAGCAAACC
Molecule: ribosomal RNA, 386 nt
Filed under: uncultured prokaryote
Description: bacterial SSU rRNA
Rfam family: Archaeal small subunit ribosomal RNA
Source: RNAcentral